GGCACUCGGGCCGCCGGCUGUGGCUGCCCUGCGCAAUACCGCCGGGUUCACAAAGCGCCGCGGCUCUGCGCCGAACCGGGGGCGGGCCGGGCCAGCGUUUGGCAACUCCGAAUCCUCUCGCCUCCGGGCCUGCCGUUUGCGAGGGAAGAGCACUGAAGAUCUUCUGUUAACCUGUUGUUCUCCCUUGGGCUGCUGAUGUUCCCCACAUCACUGACUGGUACCCACAUUUCUGCUGCAGACAAUAGGAGAUGGAGCCGUUCCUAAGGUCUUUCUGACAGUAAUGUCUUUUUUCUUCAGAAGAAGGUUAUUCCAGGGGGUUGCUAAAGAAAUGCUUUCCAUCUCCCUCCUUUUGACACCCGGUCUGGGUUCUCUACAGAAGAUUCAUGAUCUGAAGCCAGCCAAGCAGCUGAAGGACACUCAUGAUUUCCCAGUGUCAUAAGCCUGCCAGCUUUGAUGGACAAGUGCACAAAAACUCCAGUGGGUUACUGACUAAGGGCAAAACAUGCCUCCAUUUCAGGACUAUCUUUUUCUGCCACUGAGGAAACAAGUGACUGACUUUGCAACAUUAUAAUAUGGAGAAGUUAAUCUCUCUCUCACACAUGCUGAUUUCAAGCUCUUCAGUUGUUGCUUACAUCAAAGACUUGAAUACCAUACUUGAUUUACACAUUGCUCUGCUCUAAAUCAGUUGAGCUCUGGGCCACCUAUCCCUCUGACCCACAAGUUCUAUAUAGAUUAAAGUGUCCUCCCACUUAAAUCAAUGUGGGAAUAACAUUAGUCAUACAUUUCUCCAAAGUCAAUUCUGUUCCAUUGGGCCGCAAAAGAUACCUUUGAAAGAUUGUAGUGGGAGUUCAGGUGAACACUUAUCUGUGAAAAGAGUUAUUUGUUUUAUUCACAUCCCAUUUUUCUCUUGGAACUCAAAAUAUAUACACAGUACUCCAAUUCUUUCCA
Python bivittatus (Burmese python) is the source of this 948-nucleotide long non-coding RNA. RefSeq lists it as uncharacterized. The record is from RefSeq and is a predicted model, not a curated record. NCBI's taxonomy places the organism in Eukaryota, Metazoa, Chordata, Lepidosauria, Squamata, Pythonidae.